AGUAUGGAAGCCUGAGUGGUUCACCUCGUUGGCGAGCUGUGGUGGGGGGCAGGUCUGCUAUUUGGACCUCCUGGAGGCUGUGGUAUGCAUGGUCAAGUGGCUCACCUCCUUGGCCAUAGCAGGCUCUGCUGGUCGGCAGUCAGGGGCAGUGGCAUGGAGCCCCCAGUGGCUUGACUCCACAGUGCUGGUGUGGGGUGGUGGGUUCUGUGCUCCUCAGUGGUAGGGCCGAUGCCAUGGUGGCCCCAGAGACUCACCUCCCCGGUGCUAUGAACCACUGCUACAGGGACCCAGGGGUUCACCAUCCCUGUGCUUGGGGGGACAUUAUGUUUCUCAGCGCGGGGGGGGGGGUUGGCAAGUGGGAUUGGGGGGUGUGAUACUGAGGUCCGAGAAGCUCACCUCCUCAGCACUCUGAUCCCUACAAAAAAUACUAAACCUUAUCCUAACUUGGAAACUGCAACACUAAGGCCUGCAUGCAGAAAGUAAUGCAGGGUCAGUUGGGGUGAAUGUUUCCAAUUUGCAUAAGGUAGGGUGGGAACGGGCAGUCAAAAAUGUGAGGUGACUUCAUAGAAGCAGGUUGGAGAGGGGACCCCAGGAUGUGACCUCAUUUCCUUGACAAUGGAACAAACAGAUCUUGGAGCCCUGAAGGCUGGUGGGAGUCAGUUACUCAUGCAGAGUCUGAACAACAGGAAGGAUAUAUGUUAUGUUGCUUCCCAAAUUACCUAGGCUCAGGCCAAAAGAGAUGGUGGAGUGAGAGAUAUUAAAAAGAAUAAACUGCAAGUCAACAGCAUUGAGACUAAGUUAGUAAGAAUGAAGGAUGAGACUGUUAGUAAGAAUGAAGGCCAUAUGCAGUUUAUUGAGGGCGACACAGGAAUUUAUGCAGGAAGUGACCUCACUUCCUUGACAACAGACCAAGCUACCAAACAGAAUGUGGAGUCCUGGAGGCUGGUGGGAUCCAGUUCCUCGUGCAGAGACUGAAACACUAGGACUAUGUGGUCAUGCUGCUUCCCAAAUUGCCUAGGCUCAGGCCAUAGGAAAUGGUGGAGUGGGGGCCUUGCCCACAUGUGGACACUCUGGGACAGCUGUCAACCCUGGCACCUCUGGGGAAGGAACCCAAAGAUAACAAAGGUAGCAUGGGACAGCCCAGAGCAGACCACAGGGCUGAGCGGGAGCUGCAGCUGCCCAGGACCUAAAGAGGAUCAAGCCACAGGUCACCAGCCCAGGAAAACAUUUGAGUUCUCCACGCCAAAGCCAAGGGAGGCCUGAUGAUGCAUGUGCCCUCCACACCCCUGUGAAACCGAG
Heterocephalus glaber (naked mole-rat) is the source of this 1299-nucleotide non-coding RNA. Lineage: Eukaryota; Metazoa; Chordata; Mammalia; Rodentia; Bathyergidae. The record is from RefSeq and is a predicted model, not a curated record.